Molecule: long non-coding RNA, 261 nt
Organism: Monodelphis domestica (gray short-tailed opossum)
Lineage: Eukaryota; Metazoa; Chordata; Mammalia; Didelphimorphia; Didelphidae
Source: RefSeq, a predicted model, not a curated record
UUUGUUUUUGUGAACGAUUUCAAUUUAAAGAGCACUUUAUUGUAUGUUCCUGGUGGGAAGCCAUAGGACACAAUGGAUCCAGGGUCAGACAUGGAGGCAUCAGGCCUGGAUUUGAAUUCAACCUCACUCCUCGCUGUCUGACAGUUCUGUUUCAAUGUCCUCACCUGUAACUGAAGGGUUGAGUUAGAUGGACUCUUGGCUCUCUGAUAGCUCUAAAUUAAUGAUCCUAUAAUCUUGGAUAAAUAUGAUUUAUCACACUCA